ACCCGUUCUGGAAUUGCGCGG
RNAcentral lists this microRNA (21 nucleotides) under Physcomitrium patens. RNAcentral's name for it is "ppt-miR1071-3p". Lineage: Eukaryota; Viridiplantae; Streptophyta; Bryopsida; Funariales; Funariaceae. The record is from miRBase by way of RNAcentral.